Molecule: ribosomal RNA, 688 nt
Rfam family: 5.8S ribosomal RNA (bases 269-422)
GGAAGGUGAAAAAUCGUAACAAGGUUUCCGUAGGUGACGACCUGCGGAAGGAUCAUUAAUGAAUUUUGAAAGGGGUUGUUGCUGGCCUUUUCGUUUGAGAGGCAUUUUGUGCACGCCCUGAUCAUUCUCCAUUUCAUACACCUGUGCACACACUGUAGGUCGGUUUGCGAGGUGGAGCCUUCAUUGGCGUAGCUUUGUAGGCCUUCCUAUGUUUUAUCACAAACUACUAGUUUAAAGAAUGUCUAUUGCGUGUAACGCAUCUAUAUACAACUUUCAGCAACGGAUCUCUUGGCUCUCGCAUCGAUGAAGAACGCAGCGAAAUGCGAUAAGUAAUGUGAAUUGCAGAAUUCAGUGAAUCAUCGAAUCUUUGAACGCACCUUGCGCUCCUUGGUAUUCCGAGGAGCAUGCCUGUUUGAGUGUCAUGGAAUUCUCAACUCCAUUUGCUUUUGUGAAUAGAGCUUGGACUUGGAGGUAUUGCCGGACUUCAUUGUUUCGGCUCCUCUUGAAUGCAUUAGCUCGAACCUUUGUGGAUCAGCUUCGGUGUGAUAAUUGUCUACGCCGUUCUGUGAAGCAUACAUUAUGGGUUUCGGCUUCCAAUCGUCCUUCACUGGACAAUACACUAUGACCUUUGACCUCAAAUCAGGUAGGGUUACCCGCUGAACUUAAGCAUAUCAAAAGCCCGGAGGAA